GGGUCAGUAGCUCCAAUGGUUAGAGCAUCGGUCUCCAAAACCGAGUGUUGAGGGUUCGAGUCCUUCCUGGCCUGCCA
Molecule: transfer RNA, 77 nt
Filed under: Helicobacter saguini
Lineage: Bacteria; Pseudomonadati; Campylobacterota; Epsilonproteobacteria; Campylobacterales; Helicobacteraceae
Description: tRNA-Trp
Rfam family: tRNA
About the family: Transfer RNA (tRNA) molecules are approximately 80 nucleotides in length. Their secondary structure includes four short double-helical elements and three loops (D, anti-codon, and T loops). Further hydrogen bonds mediate the characteristic L-shaped molecular structure. tRNAs have two regions of fundamental functional importance: the anti-codon, which is responsible for specific mRNA codon recognition, and the 3' end, to which the tRNAs corresponding amino acid is attached (by aminoacyl-tRNA synthetases). tRNAs cope with the degeneracy of the genetic code in two manners: having more than one tRNA (with a specific anti-codon) for a particular amino acid; and 'wobble' base-pairing, i.e. permitting non-standard base-pairing at the 3rd anti-codon position.
Source: RNAcentral